GUUGAGCAGCAGGAUGGACCAAACGGUCAAGUAGGAUAUAUUGCGAGGAUAUAUUUUACAUGUUUUCAAAGUAAAAACAGUAAUUUAUCACUAUGGGUUUUUGUAUGAGAAAAGUUAGGGGUGUUUUAUUUUGUGAAAAUAACCGAAAGUGCGUUGCUCACUUCGGCUAGCUUAUAUUUUUCCGAAUUCGUCCGAACGAAAUUGUAAACGGUUGGUAUUUGGACAAAUAAAUGGCACACUCGGUAUCUAAACGGCCACUUUCUCGCCUGGUUUUUAAAAAAUCAAUAAAGUGAUAUAGUGAGUUUAGAGCUAAAGUGAAAUCAGCUUCAGCCUUUCAAUUUCGGGUGGGUAGGAGCGCAAUGCAUUGUGGGUUAUCAUGUAGUACGCUGUAGUGUAAACGAUUUGCAUACUGUCUGAUGAAUUGGGUAUGCAGUAUGGAAUGUGGAUAGUAUGGACAUGGUAGUAGUAAGUAUGUAGUGUUUAGUAUGCGGUUUCGAACACAGCCAGACUAUUUUGAGGGGAGAGAAUUUAUGUUUUUUGCUCUGUUAGCCUCCAUUAGCUAGUCUACGCCAUCAUCACAGAUCUGCCUAGACUACUGGGCCUUACUGGAUGACACAUUGAGGGAAACCUAAACUAAAACCUUAAUUUAAAGGGGACCUAUUACCGUUUUUUCCACUUUUCUGACCUAUAAAUGUUGUUAGAAUGUUGUAUUGUCAUGUUAAACAAUGCCAAAGUUUCAGAUAAUGGGGUUAAAUAACGCAUUUAGAAGUUUGGGAUGGCUCUGGACGCCGACUCUUAGUUUUUCCUAAUAUGGGCCUUGCCUCCUCUGCGGCUCUGCUGCACUGUUUUGUCUUGGGAGUGUGACCAAUCACAGUGGAGUGGGCGUGCUCGGAGGUGGGUCAUGUGUGGAAUAAAUUAAAACUGACUGUUUUGGAAAUCCAAUGAAAUACAGCUGGAAUAAGUGCAGACUCUGGAACAGGGGUCGGCAACCUUUAUUAUGAAAAGAGCCAUUUCACCCCCUUGCUCACUAAAGAAAAAUAGCCUGGAGCCGCAAAACAUAGUAUGUUUAAAACAAAAUUGGAGGGAAUUUGGGGCUAUCAAAGUAGUUCAGAUAAGAAAAAAAACAAGUUGGAGUACUCUUGCUAGUAUUAUAUUAAAUAUAAACUUACAUAAAUAUAUGUGUAAAUUACUGUAAACUUACCUGAUACCUGAAGUUCCAAUGUCGCUGUUUUAUAUGAUCUCUAAUUUAUUUUUUAGAAUUGUCAAAUAGCUUUGGGAAAGUAUGAAAAGUAUUUAUAAAGUAUUUUCCUGAAUGUUUACCUGUGAGAGAGAACUGAAUAGCAUCCUGUCUGCUCAUCCUUGUACUCAUCCAAUCACCAGUCAGAACUCAGUCAGGAUGCAUUCAUGGACUCACACAAAGUUGGAUUUUUUUAAACUCAUUACAAAGACAUGCUUUUUCCCCACUGUGGUGUUAAAAAAUAUUCAAGCAUUGCAAAGGGAGCCACAACAAAGAGGCUGAAGAGCCACAUGCGGCUCUGGAGCCGCGGGUUGCUGACCCCUGCUCUGGAAGAUCGAGAAAGCUUUCUGUGUGGGUGCUGCUCUGUACAACUGCCCUGGACCAUGAGAGGUCGUCUCUGAGGCUGCGGACCGCCCUGAUGGAUCCUCCUUCCGCUGUCCCGCUCUCGACGGCCUCCCGAGGGAGCGUUGGACUACAACGCAGAUGGACACAAACAUGAAAUAUUCACACGCCGUCACAGCGGACCAGCUCGCUCUCCAGGUGAUGGCGUGAGAAGACGUUCACGUUGUUCUUACCGGCCGUCCUAACUCAGAGCCUCGGAGGAACUCAUCAACCGAAGGUCCUCUUCGUCGGCGACGCGGGAACCCUUCCUCGUCCUCCUCCUCCUCAUCCGAGUGAUGCUGCUGGAACGUCUGGCCCUGCUCGCCAUAGCCGGCAGGCCUCCGCUCCCCCUAAAACGCGAGACGGUGCUUUGUCAGUGUUGCUAUGACAACCAUUAGAGAGCAUCAUCGUGGGGCGUCAUCAGACCUUGCCACUCUCCGCCGCCACCCUCUGUGCCGCUUCCCGAGCGAUGGCUUUGGCAACGUUGUCCGGAACAAGAGUGCCUCGAGGCUGUGGCAGAAUCCUCUGUGGGGAGGGUGAGCGUGGAUUGCCAUGGGGAGGGGCCUCCAGGGUGUGGCCUUGCAUGGGGACAGGUGGCUGGGAAGAAGGGGAGCGCACGGCGUCCCAGCCGAGUGGACCGGGCGGGACAGCUGCCCCGUGGUGGGCGGCUUGCUCUUUGGCAUCCAGGUCUCUGGCACUUACUGGUCU
Molecule: non-coding RNA, 2326 nt
Organism: Doryrhamphus excisus (bluestripe pipefish)
Lineage: Eukaryota; Metazoa; Chordata; Actinopteri; Syngnathiformes; Syngnathidae
Source: RefSeq, a predicted model, not a curated record